RNAcentral lists this ribosomal RNA (252 nucleotides) under uncultured bacterium. RNAcentral describes it as "partial 16S ribosomal RNA". It matches the Rfam family "Bacterial small subunit ribosomal RNA", at positions 524 to 776 of the family's 1533-position model. The record is from RNAcentral.
UACAGAGGCCCCAAGCGUUACUGAGAAUCACUGGGUUUAAAGGGUGCGUAGGUGGCGCGUUAAGUCCGUUGUGAAAGCCCUGGGCUCAACCCAGGAACUGCUUCGGAUACUGGCGCGCUUGAGGCUAGUAGGGGUCACUGGAACUGACGGUGGAGCGGUGAAAUGCGUAGAUAUCGAGAGGAACACCUGAGGUGAAGACGGGUUGCUGGGCCGACACUGACGCUGACAGCGCGAAGCCAGGGAGCAAACGGG